CUAACACAUGCAAGUCGAACGAGGUCCAUCCUUCGGGAGAAGACCUAGAUGGCGAACGGGUGAGUAACACGUGAGGAACCUGCCCCGAAGACCGGGAUAACUCUCCGAAAGGAGUGCUAAUACCGGAUACCCCCACCGAACCGCAUGGUUUGGUGAGGAAAUGGAUUCCGCUUCGGGAGGGCCUCGCGGCCUAUCAGCUAGUUGGUGGGGUAACGGCCCACCAAGGCAUCGACGGGUAGCUGGUCUGAGAGGACGAUCAGCCACACUGGGACUGAGACACGGCCCAGACUCCUACGGGAGGCAGCAGUGGGGAAUCUUGCGCAAUGGGCGAAAGCCUGACGCAGCAACGCCGCGUGGGGGAUGAAGGCUCUCGGGUUGUAAACCCCUUUCAGCAGGGACGAAUCAAGACGGUACCUGCAGAAGAAGCCCCGGCUAACUACGUGCCAGCAGCCGCGGUAACACGUAGGGGGCAAGCGUUGUCCGGAUUUAUUGGGCGUAAAGAGCUCGUAGGUGGCUGAGUAAGUCGGAUGUUAAAUCCCCAGGCUCAACCUGGGACACCACCCGAUACUGCUCUGGCUAGAGUCCGGUAGGGGAGCGUGGAAUUCCUGGUGUAGCGGU
Molecule: ribosomal RNA, 618 nt
Filed under: uncultured bacterium
Lineage: Bacteria
Description: bacterial SSU rRNA
Rfam family: Bacterial small subunit ribosomal RNA
Source: RNAcentral